UACGUAGGGUGCAAGCGUUGUCCGGAAUUAUUGGGCGUAAAGGGCUCGUAGGCGGUUUGUCGCGUCGGGAGUGAAAACUCAGGGCUUAACCCUGAGCCUGCUUCCGAUACGGGCAGACUAGAGGUAUGCAGGGGAGAACGGAAUUCCUGGUGUAGCGGUGAAAUGCGCAGAUAUCAGGAGGAACACCGAUGGCGAAGGCAGGUCUCUGGGCAUUAACUGACGCUGAGGAGCGAAAGCAUGGGGAGCGAACAGG
RNAcentral lists this ribosomal RNA (253 nucleotides) under uncultured bacterium. Its description in RNAcentral is "partial 16S ribosomal RNA". It matches the Rfam family "Bacterial small subunit ribosomal RNA", at positions 524 to 776 of the family's 1533-position model. The record is from RNAcentral.